AACGUAGGUGGCGAGCGUUAUCCGGAUUUACUGGGCGUAAAGGGUGUGCAGGCUGCUCCUCAAGUGGUGUAUGAAAGGGCUCGGCUCAACCGGGCUAGGUUAUGCCAGACUGAGGGGCUAGAGAGCGAGAGCGGGACGUGGAAUUCCGGGUGUAGUGGUGAAAUGCGUAGAGAUCCGGAGGAACCCCAGAGGCGAAGGCGGCGUCCUGGCUCGCAUCUGACGCUCAGACACGACAGCAUGGGGAGCGAACGGG
This 253-nucleotide ribosomal RNA is filed under the name uncultured bacterium. RNAcentral describes it as "partial 16S ribosomal RNA". It matches the Rfam family "Bacterial small subunit ribosomal RNA", at positions 524 to 776 of the family's 1533-position model. The record is from RNAcentral.